GUGGGGAAUAUUGGACAAUGGGCGAAAGCCUGAUCCAGCAAUGCCGCGUGAGUGAUGAAGGCCCUAGGGUUGUAAAGCUCUUUUACCCGGGAUGAUAAUGACAGUACCGGGAGAAUAAGCUCCGGCUAACUCCGUGCCAGCAGCCGCGGUAAUACGGAGGGAGCUAGCGUUGUUCGGAAUUACUGGGCGUAAAGCGCGCGUAGGCGGUUUUUUAAGUCAGGGGUGAAAGCCCGGAGCUCAACUCCGGAAUAGCCUUUGAAACUGGAAAACUUGAAUCUUGGAGAGGUCAGUGGAAUUCCGAGUGUAGAGGUGAAAUUCGUAGAUAUUCGGAAGAACACCAGUGGCGAAGGCGACUGACUGGACAAGUAUUGACGCUGAGGUGCGAAAGCGUGGGGAGCAAACAGGAUUAGAAACCCUAGUAGUCC
RNAcentral lists this ribosomal RNA (425 nucleotides) under uncultured bacterium. Its description in RNAcentral is "bacterial SSU rRNA". It matches the Rfam family "Bacterial small subunit ribosomal RNA", at positions 354 to 796 of the family's 1533-position model. The record is from RNAcentral.